Molecule: long non-coding RNA, 291 nt
Organism: Ylistrum balloti
Lineage: Eukaryota; Metazoa; Mollusca; Bivalvia; Pectinida; Pectinidae
Exons: 2
Source: RefSeq, a predicted model, not a curated record
AGGUCACACAUAUAGACUGGACACAUGGAUGUAUGACAGAGGUCACACAUAUAGACUGGACACAUGGAUGUAUGACAGAGGUCACACAUACAGGCUGGACACAUUGAUGUAUGACAGAGGUCACACAUAUAGACUCGUCACUUUGACAUGAUGAGGUUAAUAAAGAUAAGUAAAUGAAGGAUUUAUUGAAGUUAUCUCUAGGACCUAGGGAUACACCUGAAAUCUACAUAAUCAAGACUAUGAUGUAAAUUUGACAUGCUAUGAUUAGUAUGAAUAAAAGGUUGAUUGUUA